This 253-nucleotide ribosomal RNA is filed under the name uncultured bacterium. RNAcentral describes it as "partial 16S ribosomal RNA". It matches the Rfam family "Bacterial small subunit ribosomal RNA", at positions 524 to 776 of the family's 1533-position model. The record is from RNAcentral.
UACGUAGGGGGCAAGCGUUAUCCGGAAUCAUUGGGCGUAAAGGCUGUGUAGGUGGUUGUGUUAGUCUCUUGUUAAAUUCUUCGGCUUAACCGGGGGCAUGCAAGGGAAACGGCACGACUAGAGGAUGCGAGGAGUCUGCGGAACUCAUAGUGUAGCGGUGAAAUGCGUUGAUAUUAUGGGGAACACCAAAAGCGAAGGCAGCAGACUGGAGCACUCCUGACACUGAAACAUGAAAGCGUGGGUCGCGAAUGGG